CUGGGGCGGGAGGUUUCCCCGUCGCAGGCCUUGGAGCGUGUCGCAGUGUUCGUAAUCCGCGUGUGCGGCCGUGUUGGUGAGAACAAAGAAAAUGGGAAGAAAAAGCCACGUGCGCUGGAGCUUGCUCGGUGUCAUCCCGGCUGAUCGGCUCCUGGAGGAGAGCAGUAUCUGAGCUGCAUCGAGGAAAUAAACGUUUUUGGCCUGGUCCUGAGGAGAAUGCAAUGCUCACCCCAGAACUGCUGCUGCAGGAGCACCAUCUCAGAGGAGGACACAGAGACCAUCACAGCUACAAGCAUCUGACAGACUGAAGGACUCCAAAGGGGAUAGACAACAUGCUGUAGAUGCACGGGCAGUGAUCUGAGAGUCAAAGAUACGAGCAGAGGCACGUAAGGAUGUCACACUAUACAGAAGCUCCAUUUCUAAUUGUUCUGUGGUGGAGUUACAUGACCGAACAGGGCUGUGGAUGUUAUCUGCUGUGCUUGUAAUGCACUGAGUGGCUUCUACCUCAUCCUUUGCCUCCAUCUGUUUCUCUACUGCUCCCGUUGAGCCCACACGACUAUCUCCAGAAGUGAAUAUGAAAGAUGCAGGAGUCUGACUCUACUCCCCACACAGAUCAUGACUGAGGACUGUGAGUAGACAGUCUCCUUGGGCUCCCUCCCACCAGCGCAAGGCAUGUAAGCAAUGAGACCAAAGGAGCCCUCCUGGGUUGUGGUGACCAAGCCCAGCUAAUGCAAGCAGCCAUGUCACAUAAACCUGUCCAUAAAGGCAUCUGACAGCCUGCCCUCAUUACUGCUGUGAAGAGACUCUCCAAAAAUCCACUCCUCUAAUGGUCUGGAAAUCACCCAGGGCCAAGAAUCAAAUGCAAAGGCAGCCCUAAGACUGGGUCUAGCAUGGAGUCAAGAGUAGGAUGCUGUGUUCCUUGCAUGAGCAGAGGAGCCUGUGCAGCCACACUUUGCCUGGGGCAGGCUUCCAUCCCAACAGCAAGGGAACAGAAGACAGACGGGCAUUGGUCCCAAGAACAGGCGGUAACGAAAUCAAGCUGGACCAUCUGGAUUGCUCAGUGCCUGCCAUCCCACCAACUACAGGAGGAUACUGGGAGGGGGAAGCACCUGCCAUGGCAAAGGGACAAGAAUUGGGUGCGACAGGAAUGCCGCCAGCUCCAUGCAAUCCCAGGGCUGGGACUUCGUGUGCUGAAAUCCGAGAGAUAACAAAUGAAAGUGAAACAUCUGAGAAGCCUAAAAAGCAAUGGAUGAAGCAGGACAGAGGAAUAUCUUUCUGGUGACACCAGGAAUAGAGAAUCAGUUUCAAAAUGAAACGUGGGGGCUGAAAAGCAUCCAGCAACAUCUCAUUUGACUUGGACUCAUUCUAAGAGGAGACCUUGGUGCCACCCAGAGGGUGUGAGCUCAAGGAAGAGCCUGGAGCAAGAAGAUCCCAUUUCCUGAUGCUGCAUCUUGGAGGGUGUGGGAUGGGAAGAGCUUUGCUGGAUAAGGGAGAAAACAGCAAUGUCCUCAGAAACUUUGAGCAUGCUGCUGACACACUGGAGGAAAACCAUGGGCUGCACGUGUGAGAAGGAUUCCCUCACUGUAUCUCUAUUGGGUUUUUUAUUAAACACUGACAUGAAAACGUG
Molecule: long non-coding RNA, 1627 nt
Organism: Pezoporus occidentalis (night parrot)
Lineage: Eukaryota; Metazoa; Chordata; Aves; Psittaciformes; Psittacidae
Exons: 13
Source: RefSeq, a predicted model, not a curated record